AAUCUUUAUGUGCUCCCUGCCUGAAUCUACCAGCCAGCGAAUGACAACUGACUGAGUAGAAAUACUAGGACUACAGAACCGUGAUAAAAGGAGUCUCCUGCCCCUGGCCAGGGAGAGCCACAGGCUGGAUGACAUCUGGUUUAUAGUGAGGGGCAGCAGCAACUCCAAGAGGGGGAAGAUGUGACCAUGAGCCCCGCCCCAGACCCAGGAGGCUUGACCUUGGGGCUGCCGUAGCAGUGGAUGCUCUUCAGCUGAAUGACCUAUCCUGGGCCCGUGACCCUGGACUUCAGCCAGAUCAGCAUCUCAAGCUCCCACCCAGGUGGCCUGUCCUCACGGGCCUUGGAGUGGAGACUUGAGCCACCACCUGUCAGAGGUGGAGACUUCACAGGCACAGCUGGAGCCAAGAACCCUGGUGCCCAAUUGUCUGUGACUGCAACUGGAUCAAGGGUUUGACUGUGGCUAUGGCUUAGCCAGGCGGGAUGUUUCCUCCACCACCUGCAGCUUCACAACCAACGGUGAUCCUGGGAACCAAUGGCCCUUCCAAGAGCUGGGUUUAGAGCCUUCCCUUGAAUGAAGAACCCUCCCCAGCUGGAAGGUGAUGCUAUUGAAGGCUCAGCUGACAACAUACAUGGGCAUCAAGUCAUUGGCCACAUUCAUGUCUCAAGUGUCCUAAAACCGAAGAUGAUCAAAAGAAAACUGCUGUUCAGCAAGUGGAGACUGGCAUGCAGAUUCCCUGGCCUGCAAGCUUAGAGCAGGAAGAUACUAAAUGCUGCUGGAACAAUGAAAAGAAAGAACGGAUGUCACAAAAAGCAUUUUCAUUUGAUGAAUAGAACUAAAAGAGCAAAGCAAUUGAAAGCUUAACACAACACAGGAGGGAUCCAUGGCUGAGGAUUGUAUUUCAGAACCACUGACUGCUCUUGACAAUUGUUAACCCACUAGGCUCCUUUGGUUAGAGAAGCCACAGUCCUUCAGCCUCCACUUGAUACCAAUACUUAGGAAGACCAAAGCCAGAUGGACAAACAGCAUUGAGAGGCUUUAGCCCUACUCCUCUCAGCUUCCAUCCUGUAGAGAACAGGAGUCAGGAGCUGCUGGCAGGAGACAGCAUGUCACUUGGGACUCUGCCAGUGCAGAAUACGAACAAUGCCAUGUUCUUGCUAAAAAUGCUUAGCUUGAGUUUCAUAGGAGGUAAUCACCAGAUAGACAACUGCAGAAUGUAGAAUACUGAGCAGGACAAUAACCUGUCUCCUUCAGACAGUCCAUGUCACCACGAAUCACACAAUAAAAAGGAGAAAAGACAUUUUGGGUUCAAAAAAACUAAAAAGAUAAUGUAGCUAUAUUUCUUUAGUUAUUUUGAACCCAAAGUAUCUCCUCAUCUUUUUGUUGUUGUCAUUGAUGGUAGGGGCAUGGACUUGUUUGUAGAGGACAGGUCAGCUGUCUGGCUCAAUGUCCUACAAGAGACAGGGGGGACAUGGAAGUGUACAGCUAUAUUUGUGGAUUAGUCUAGCUAUCUGUUCAGUAUUUAAGGUUGUUGUUGCAUAGAUAUUUAUGACUUGAAAUUUUGCAUAGAUAUUUAUGACUUUUGUCAGGGGAGGGGUUGGUGGAUUGGUCCUUUCAUCAUUUUAUAACGUCCCUUUCUCUCUCUGAUUAGUUUCUUUGUUCUUUUUUCUAUGGACAUCUUUCUUUUAAGGCAGAACUGCUGGUCAGAGAUUCCCUUAGCUUUUCUUAAUCUGAAACUGUUUUGAUCUACCCCUUAAUUCCUGAAAGACUCAGCAAAUAAAUACAAGACAUAAAUAAGAACCAAAUGGAAGUAUUAGAAGUGAAAAAUGCAACUAAAAUAAAAAGUCCAGCAGAUAG
This is a long non-coding RNA of Homo sapiens (human), 1854 nucleotides long. RefSeq lists it as uncharacterized. The transcript is spliced from 6 exons. The record is from RefSeq and is a predicted model, not a curated record. Lineage: Eukaryota; Metazoa; Chordata; Mammalia; Primates; Hominidae.